CAUUGAAACACCGGUGCUCAUACGAUCACCGAAGUUAAGCAACAUCGAGUCUGGCCAGUAUUUAGAUGGGUGACCGCUUAGGAAUACUAGAU
Molecule: non-coding RNA, 92 nt
Organism: Acanthosepion pharaonis
Lineage: Eukaryota; Metazoa; Mollusca; Cephalopoda; Sepiida; Sepiidae
Source: the annotation of a GenBank genome assembly